Molecule: long non-coding RNA, 1018 nt
Filed under: Gallus gallus (chicken)
Lineage: Eukaryota; Metazoa; Chordata; Aves; Galliformes; Phasianidae
Description: lncRNA (ENSGALG00010014110.1)
Source: RNAcentral
CAGAGCUUCAGAUUAGCAAGAAGCCCUGCAGUUACUGGAGCGUAGCGAAGGGUUUUGAGCAGGGGAUCAGCACCUGCUUUUCGGCUUUCAUUGGAGUUUCUCUUCAGCCAUCAGAAGAGUAAAGGAAAACCAGAAACUGCCAUCAGAAUGAGCAGCAUGAUUAUACAUCAGUAACAAGCAAAUUGCUUGUCAAAAAGGGGACCCUUCACUUAAUGCUGCUCCUUUGAAAUAAAAGUAUCUCCAACAGCUCUGAAGUUCAAGGAUAUGUUCUCAGUUGGUGUGAGCACCGAGCAGACCAGGAGCUAAGGACUUUUAUGAUUGAUAGACCAAACGUACCACCAUCUGAAGGGUAUAGCUCAGUAGCCAUUUUCAGAGCAUGACUACAGGAAAAGACCCUGAACUGCUGCAACUGUUCAUCUCAGAUUAUGUGAUAGGAAGAAGAAAAAGAAGAGGAAGAAAGAUAGGAAGAAGAAAAAACAUCAAAACAACAAAUAAAACCUAGCCUAGCUUUCCUCAUAUUGACCAAAUUAGGAUUCUUUUUCUGUGUCACGUAACAUUUAUCUUUUUAUAGAGCAGUGACAAUUAUAUGGCUUUUCCUUUGUCUCGUCUUGGCUAUACUGCGGUGAUUUGCAACAAAACUGAUGUUUAUAUAUUCAUUUUCACUCCAAGAGCAGGCUGCUGCUGUGUCUGAAAGAAACGUUUAAACUUCUCGUUUGUCAUUUUUCUAUUGUUUUUGGUUGGAUUUUUUUAUUUUUUUAUUUUUUGCUUUUUGGUGUUUUUUUUCCUAUGUCUCUUUUGUUGUUGUCUGUCAUAUUGGCUCCCUACUUCAGUAUUUAUUAUUCUUUACACUUUUUUUUUUCCCUACAGCACAGCAUUUCAUCUCAGAUGACUGUUUGACCACAGUGUUUCUCUGUAAAAGACGCAUGUAGCAGUUUUGAAAAGUCUACUUAGGUCUUACCACCUAUUUUAUCAGCUAAAAUGCUGAAGGUUAUGCUUAGAUUUCAUAUAUAUAUAUAUA